RNAcentral lists this ribosomal RNA (95 nucleotides) under Corynebacterium intestinale. RNAcentral also lists the same sequence under 1 other name. Lineage: Bacteria; Bacillati; Actinomycetota; Actinomycetes; Mycobacteriales; Corynebacteriaceae. The record is from RNAcentral.
AAACGCCCGGACCCAUUCCGAACCCGGAAGCUAAGCCUGCUAACGCUGAUGGUACUGCAACCGGGAGGUUGUGGGAGAGUAAGAAACCGCCGACA